CGGAUUCUGGCUCAGGAUGAACGCUAGCUACAGGCUUAACACAUGCAAGUCGAGGGGCAGCAUUGGGAUAGCUUGCUAUUCAGAUGGUGACCGGCGCACGGGUGAGUAACGCGUAUCCAACCUUCCUGCCAGUAGGGAACAGCCCGGCGAAAGUCGGAUUAAUGCCCUAUGUUCUUCAAUGCGGACAUCUAAGUUGAAGGAAAGAUUCAUCGCUGGCAGAUGGGGAUGCGUCCGAUUAGCUUGCCGGCGGGGUAACGGCCCACCGGGGCGACGAUCGGUAGGGGUUCUGAGAGGAAGGUCCCCCACACUGGUACUGAGACACGGACCAGACUCCUACGGGAGGCAGCAGUGAGGAAUAUUGGUCAAUGGGCGUAAGCCUGAACCAGCCAAGUAGCGUGCAGGAAUGACGGCCCUACGGGUUGUAAACUGCUUUUAUGCGGGGAUAAAGUGCGGCACGUGUGCCGCUUUGCAGGUACCGCAUGAAUAAGGACCGGCUAAUUCCGUGCCAGCCGCAGC
RNAcentral lists this ribosomal RNA (516 nucleotides) under uncultured bacterium. RNAcentral's name for it is "bacterial SSU rRNA". It matches the Rfam family "Bacterial small subunit ribosomal RNA", at positions 13 to 518 of the family's 1533-position model. The record is from RNAcentral.